AAGUAACACAAAACACAAUUAUAAGAAGCGUACAACAGCAUGAACCUACGUGCAGAGCAGUAUAUGAGCAGCAUAUGUAGCACUAUAUCAGCCGUAUAAAAGUCUAUAAGUGUCUUGUAAGCGCAAUUUGGGCCCCAAAUAAUACGGCUUUGAGCAUUAUUAAAUAUUAUUAGUGCUGCUAACCAGCGCUUAUAAUGUUAUUGAAGACAGACAUUAGUAAAGUUGUUAGACAGCAUAUUCUAAUGUAAAAAGCAUUUUAUUAGAUGUUAGUACAGCUUUGAAACAGCUUUCAGAAUUACAAUGCCAAAGUUACGUUUUAUUCUAAGGCUGAACGUUUUAUUUUGUUUGUUUGAAAGUAUUCGAAAAAACUUAUCGCAUUUUAUUGUCCGAUUUGAUUAUUUUUCGUUUAGAGUAUUGCAGUGCAAUGGUGUUGUGAGGAGAUGUUUUAAUGUCUUUAUUUAAAAUAAUUUAUCAUAAGGUAAGUAUCAUUUUUUUUUGUUUCAAGAAUGAAAAUGAGCUGGGAGUAUUAGUCUUAUGUGAAAAUAUAUAUAUGUUUGUGGUUUAUAAUUCACGCGCCCUCACAGAAAUCCUUUUUUUAAUAAAAUAGGGACAAAUUUAGAAUCGACAUAUGACACUUUUUGUGAUUUUUUUAACGAUUUGAUUAAUUUUAACUUAUAAAAUUGCUUCUAUCGAUACUCCGCUUGUAAGAAAAGGAUAAUAAGUAGUACUUCAUGCAUAUGUGUAUUAUAAUUUUAUUUUCUAUGUUAGAGAAAACAGAAAGCAAAUGGCGUCAGAUAAUAUUAAUGUUUUAAACUUUCAACUAGUGUCUUUUAAUGUUGUCAGUCUUAUUAUAGUAAAAAGAAAAUGGUUAAGUCAUUCAACCUACAUAUAAAAUAUCUAAGUGAUAUCUUUAGCAUUACUGUAACACUUUUUAGGUAUGUUAUAAUGUUCAUUAGGUUUAAACGUCAUAAAAAUGGAUUGCUUUAGUGUUAAUCAGGGUACCGAAACAAUAAUUUAGAAUCCUUUAAUCACGUCAUGAUCCCCUACUCCACGUCUUUCAAUUUUAUCUGUCUCCAAUUAGAUGCCUUUUAAAAUAGUGCAAACGACCGAAAGGGAUGAAGGAAUGUUCUACGGAACUUCUUGACUCACACAACAACCGAUUGUACUGUAUUUUGUGUAUGAGGUGUAUCAUUUUUUGGAACACGUUUUGCAUUUCUUAAACCAAAUAUAAAGUUUGAAUAUUC
This is a long non-coding RNA of Ostrinia nubilalis (European corn borer), 1244 nucleotides long. RefSeq lists it as uncharacterized. The record is from RefSeq and is a predicted model, not a curated record. The transcript has 2 exons. Lineage: Eukaryota; Metazoa; Arthropoda; Insecta; Lepidoptera; Crambidae.